Molecule: transfer RNA, 73 nt
Organism: Galdieria sulphuraria
Lineage: Eukaryota; Rhodophyta; Bangiophyceae; Galdieriales; Galdieriaceae
Rfam family: tRNA
About the family: Transfer RNA (tRNA) molecules are approximately 80 nucleotides in length. Their secondary structure includes four short double-helical elements and three loops (D, anti-codon, and T loops).
Source: Rfam
ACCGACCUAGCUCAGUCGGUAGAGCGCCAGACUCUUAAUCUGGUGGUCGUGGGUUCGACCCCCACGGUCGGUG